Molecule: non-coding RNA, 73 nt
Organism: Paramuricea clavata
Lineage: Eukaryota; Metazoa; Cnidaria; Anthozoa; Malacalcyonacea; Plexauridae
Source: the annotation of a GenBank genome assembly
GACCGCGUAGCUCAGUUGGCAGAGCAUUGGGCUAGUAUUCCAAAGGUCGUAGGUUCGAUUCCCACCGUGUCCG